This 253-nucleotide ribosomal RNA is filed under the name uncultured bacterium. RNAcentral describes it as "partial 16S ribosomal RNA". It matches the Rfam family "Bacterial small subunit ribosomal RNA", at positions 524 to 776 of the family's 1533-position model. The record is from RNAcentral.
UACAGAGGGUGCGAGCGUUAAUCGGAAUUACUGGGCGUAAAGCGCGCGUAGGUGGUUCGUUAAGUUGGAUGUGAAAGCCCCGGGCUCAACCUGGGAACUGCAUCCAAAACUGGCGAGCUAGAGUACGGUAGAGGGUGGUGGAAUUUCCUGUGUAGCGGUGAAAUGCGUAGAUAUAGGAAGGAACACCAGUGGCGAAGGCGACCACCUGGACUGAUACUGACACUGAGGUGCGAAAGCGUGGGGAGCAAACAGG